AUUGGUGAGGGUGGCCUAUUGUGGGGAGAAUGUAGUGGCAGACAAUUUGAAUGGUUUGAAGGGAAUCCUGUCACUGAGCUUUUGCUUAAGGUAAAGGAGCUCUAUGGUCUUGAUGAUGAUGUUGCAUUUAGGAAUGUCACUGUGUCUUCAGAAAAUAGGCCCCAACCUUAACCCUAGGAACAGCAACGCAAAUUGGGGCCAUACCAACAGAGGGAAUACCCUGUUUGUUGAAGGUGUUGCUUCCAUCUAAUUGCACUGGUCUACCUGUAUUGUAUAUUAGAGAUCUUCUUCUUAACCCUCCUCCCUAUGAUAUUGCAUCCAAAAUUCAAGCAACUUGCAAGCUAAUGAGCAACGUGACAUGCUCCAUUCCUGAGUUUACUUGUGUUUCAUCUGCAAAGCUUGUGAAGCUACUUGAACAGAGGGAGGCCAAUCAUUUUGAAUUUUGUAGAAUAAAAAAUUUACUGGAUGACAUAUUGCGCAUGUAUAAAAAUUCUGAGCUCAAUGAAAUCCUGAAAUUGUUGAUGGAUCCGAUAUGGGUGGCAACUGGAUUAAAAAUUGACUUUGAGACAUUGGUUACUGAAUGUGAAUGGGCUUCAGGUAGAAUUGGUGAAAUGAUCUCUCUAGAUGGGGAAAGUGAUCAAAAGAUUAGUUCCUCUUCUGUUAUUCCGAGUGACUUUUUUGAGGAUAUGGAGUCUUCUUGGAAAGGUCGUGUGAAGAGGAUCCAUAUAGAGGAAGAACUUGCACAACUGCAAAGUGCAGCUGAGGCACUAUCUUCAGCAGUUACUGAAGAUUUCCUCCCAAUAAUUACUAGAAUAAAGGCUACCACAGCUCCAUUUGGAGGUCCAAAGGGAAAAAUUUUAUAUGCCCGAGAGCAUGAAGCUGUUUGGUUCAAGGGAAAAAGGUUUGCACCAUCUGUAUGGGCUGGGACUCCUGGGGAGGAACAAAUUAAACAGCUUAAACCUGCUGCUGAUUCAAGAGGUAGAAAGGUUGGAGAGGAAUGGUUUACCACAAUGAAGGUGGAGGAUGCUUUAAUGAGGUAUCAUGAGGCUGGUGCCAAGGCAAAAGUAAAGGUCUUGGAAUUAUUGAGGGGACUUUCUUUUGAAAUGCAAUCUAAAAUCAAUGUCCUUGUCUUUGCCUCUAUGUUGCUCGUUAUUGCAAAGGCAUUAUUUGCUAAUGUGAGUGAAGGGAGAAGAAGGUAAUGGGUUUUUCCCACUCUUGCCAAGUCACAUAGGUCCAAGGAUGUGAAGCCAUUAGAUGAAGCAUAUGGGAUGGAGAUAAUUGGUCUAUCACCAUAUUGGUUUGAUGUAGCAGAAGGCAGUGCUGUACAUAAUACAGUUGCUAUGCAAUCAUUGUUUCUUUUGACAGGACCAAAUGGGGGUGGUAAAUCAAGUUUGCUUCCGUCAAUUUGUGCUGCUGCAUUACUUGGAAUAUGUGGAUUUAUGGUGCCUGCAGAGUCAGCCUUGAUUCCUCAAUAUGAUUCAAUCAUGCUUCAUAUGAAAUCUUAUGAUAGUCCUGCAUAUGGAAAAAGCUCAUUUCAUGUAGAAAGGUCAGAAAUUCGGUCCAUUAUUUCUAAAAGAAGGCUUGUGCUUAGAUAUGAAAUUUGCCGAGGAACAGAAACAGCAAAAGGGACUUGUAUUGCUGGUAGCAUUAUUGAAACUCUUGAUAAAAUUGGUUGUUUGGGUGUUGUAUCCACUCAUUUGCAUGGAAUAUUUACGUUGCCACUCAAUACCAAGAACACUGUUUACAAAGCAAUGGGAACAGUAUCUGUUGAUGGCAAAACAAAACCAACACUGAAGUUGAUAGAUGGGAUAUGUGGAGAAAGCCUAGCAUUUGAAACAGCUAAAAAGGAGGGGAUUUCUGAAUCAAUAAUCCAAAGAGCUGAAAGCCUGUAUCUAUCAGCUUAUGCAAAAGAAGUUGUUUCAGCAAAAAAUGACUCAGAACUAGUGGAAGUUUGUUCUAAUAUGAGUAUUAAUGGUUCUGAUGAAUCUCACCUUCAGUCGAGAAGAAUUAGAGAAGUAGUUGCCCAUAAUUGGAGAGGGUCAACAAACCAAACAGAAUUUCUACAGAAGGAAGUUGAGAGUGCUGUCACAGUAAUAUGUCAGAAGAAGCUGAUUGAGCUCUACAAGAAGAAAAAAAUAUCAGAACUUGCUGAGGUACAGUGUCCUAAUUGGUGCUAGGGAACGGCCACCUCCAUCAACAAUAGGUGCUUCAAGUGUCUAUGUGAUGCUUAGACCUGACAAGAAAUUAUAUGUUGGAGAGGUACUUCUCUUUUGA
Quercus lobata is the source of this 2274-nucleotide RNA transcript. It is a transcript of the gene named DNA mismatch repair protein MSH1, mitochondrial-like, with no coding region annotated. The record is from RefSeq and is a predicted model, not a curated record. The transcript has 12 exons. Lineage: Eukaryota; Viridiplantae; Streptophyta; Magnoliopsida; Fagales; Fagaceae.